ACGGAGGGGGCAAGCGUUGUUCGGAAUCAUUGGGCGUAAAGGGCGCGUAGGCGGCCGGCCAAGUCGGGUGUGAAAUCCCUCGGCUCAACCGAGGAACUGCACUCGAUACUGGCUGGCUUGAGUCCGGGAGGGGAUGGUGGAAUUCCCAGUGUAGCGGUGAAAUGCGUAGAUAUUGGGAAGAACACCGGUGGCGAAGGCGGCCAUCUGGACCGGAACUGACGCUGAGGAGCGAAAGCGUGGGGAGCAAACAGGA
This 253-nucleotide ribosomal RNA is filed under the name uncultured prokaryote. Its description in RNAcentral is "partial 16S ribosomal RNA". It matches the Rfam family "Bacterial small subunit ribosomal RNA", at positions 525 to 777 of the family's 1533-position model. The record is from RNAcentral.